This 2254-nucleotide long non-coding RNA is filed under the name Citrus sinensis (sweet orange). Its description in RNAcentral is "long non-coding RNA (CSIN_LNC002106)". Lineage: Eukaryota; Viridiplantae; Streptophyta; Magnoliopsida; Sapindales; Rutaceae. The record is from RNAcentral.
UAUUUCAGUUUAUCGAUAUUUCAGGUUAUUUUCUGUAGAAAUAAAGUUUUGAUUUAUUCACACUCUAAUUUUAAUAUGCUUUGAUCUCACUGAUGUUUAAGGUAAACCAGUUGGAAAUAAGUAUGUUAAGAUCACAUUGCAUGAAAUUUCUAUGCUACACAUCAACAUUAUAAUCCAUGUCUUUUAGUUCUAGGCAUAGUGACCAUGCCUGGAUCGAGUUAUAGUAGUUGUAACAAAGGCCGCCUUUGAUCCUAUGUUGGUAUAAUUGAUAGACUUGAUUGGUUAUAGAAACAUUUCGAUAAUAAUAGUAAUGUUGAGCUCAUACAAUUAUUUUCACAAAGCCUAAUUAUACGGUUACAUAUAUAGCCCAAAUGGGAGAUUGUUGAAUUUUUUAAUCUAGCAUUGUUAGAUCCUUAAUCUAAUGUUGGGCUUAUAUGUGAAUAAUUAUGUGUUGCGAACUGUCGUAUAUGGUUAAACUCAAUUAAAAGUGAUCUAUUAAGGUCUACAAUAAUAUAGGCUUUAAUGUAUUUAAUAAGGUGUUGACUUUUAAUGUGUAGAGACUUAAGAGUAAUUUCUAUUUCUCUGACUGGUUGAAAUAAGAAUACCUGAAGCCAAUAGAAAAAAGUUAUCUUUAUAAGUAGUCAUGAUCCUCAGGUCACAUGUAUCAUUCUAUUCUUUCUGACAUCCCAUCUAGGGGUUUGAGAUGCCUCUUCCUGCUUCAACUCUUGUGAGUUCUCUUUAAUUUUCUUUCUUUUUCUAUUUAUUUUAUUUUUUAAUUUUAUUCCUAUUUUAUUUUUCUAGUUAUGUUUGUCAAUUAGUUGAAUAAUUAUAGUAAUCGAUUUUAGAGAUGAUGAGAUCGAUUCUCUAGUGGGUCCUGAUAACUUUUCCAGAUAAGUCUUACUUCUUAAUGGCAUUAAACCGUUGAGAGAGAAAGUGAAUAAGUUGAUAAGUUUUCUAUAAACUGCUAUUUUUUAAUUUUGAAUGUUCACUUCGUUAAAAAAAGUAAUUUUUUAAUAUUUAAAUGGCCACUAUUUAUUUUUCUUUAAUUAAGGAGUUCCUAGAAGAACCAUAAAUUAAGAAUAGUGACAAUUGUAUCUAGUAUUGGUUGAAUCUAUUUUUCUUAAUUAAUGUGAUAAUAUUAUAUCACCUAAUAAAUGAUGACAUGUCAUAUGUUUCAUUACUUUUGGAUUUAAACAGUGUAUCCCAGUAACAGGUAUAUGUAGCAUGACUCUGCUUUAUACUGAAAUUAAAAUUCAAGAUUGAUUUAUGAUGUCAUAAUUGAAUUUAAAACAUUGUAAAAAUAUGUUUAUGACAUCAUAAGCUCGUCCAAGACUUUAAUGCCAAAUUAAAAAAAUUAUGUAUGUAGCAUAUCUCUUAUUUAUUUGUAACUAUGAUGUAGAUCUCGGUGAUAAUGGUAAAUUUUUUUCUAAAAUAUGCUACUUAGAUUCUUGAUUUUAAUUUAAUAGAUAGGAAUAGAUAGAGUAUAAAUUAAAUGAGAGGUAAGCUAUUCAAGUAGGCAUUUAUUUGGAUCGACUGCAUGCAAAAUAAAAAUAAUGAUGGUCUGCUUGUAAUAUUCCCAUUAUUUAAUUUUACUAAUUUAUAAAAUUAUUGUAGUAAGUUGUGGAUAUCCGAAUUUUAUAAAUUUCACACUCACUCUUUUAUAGCACCGUAAGGCGUAAAGUAGCAAUACAAUAUAACAAAGGCCCUUGAUACACUAAAGGGCUCGUAGCCUAUUGAUAAUCCAUGUGCCCAAUUGGGUUUGAGUUCCAAUAAUAGCUAGGAAUUGAUUUGGCUCAUAGAAGGGUAUGAUGAUGUAGCAUUGAUCGAUGACAUGGUAACAUCGUAUUAGAGCAAUGAUGUGGCAUUGACCGAUGAUGUGACGUUGACCGAUUAUGUGGCGUUGAUCGAUGAUGUGGUAGGAUGCUAUUGCACCAAAAUACUGAUGUGGUGUUGACCUAUGAUGUAGCAGCAUAUUAUUGGACCAAAAUGUUGAUCUAGUGUUGACUGAUGAUGUGUUCCAACCAAUUAAAGCUUGUCACGUUGCCCAAUCCUAAGCGUCCGAAUUAUUUUCAUCUGAUGACUAUGAUUUACCUAUUGUAUCUAUAAAUAAAGGGCUCUCCCUUAAUUUGAUGCCCUUGAAUUUAUUUUUUAGCUCUAUUUUCUAUAAUUCUCUCUCUAUCUUGCAUUCUCUAUGUAUUUUAAUAAAAUUAUCAUUUUACCCCUAAUUCAAUUGUGAGUGGCUAAUUUAGUUUUA